RNAcentral lists this ribosomal RNA (432 nucleotides) under uncultured bacterium. RNAcentral describes it as "partial 16S ribosomal RNA". It matches the Rfam family "Bacterial small subunit ribosomal RNA", at positions 29 to 507 of the family's 1533-position model. The record is from RNAcentral.
AUGAACGCUGGCGGCAUGCCUAACACCUGCAAGUCGAACGAAGGCUUCGGCCUUAGUGGCGCACGGGUGCGUAACGCGUGGGAAUCUGCCCCUUGGUUCGGAAUAACAGUUAGAAAUGACUGCUAAUACCGGAUGAUGACGUAAGUCCAAAGAUUUAUCGCCGAGGGAUGAGCCCGCGUAGGAUUAGCUAGUUGGUGUGGUAAGAGCGCACCAAGGCGACGAUCCUUAGCUGGUCUGAGAGGAUGAUCAGCCACACUGGGACUGAGACACGGCUCAGACUCCUACGGGAGGCAGCAGUGGGGAAUAUUGGACAAUGGGCGAAAGCCUGAUCCAGCAAUGCCGCGUGAGUGAUGAAGGCCUUAGGGUUGUAAAGCUCUUUUACCCGGGAUGAUAAUGACAGUACCGGGAGAAUAAGCUCCGGCUAACUCCGUG